AUGGUUACCCCAGUGAAUGCCACGCACCAUUUCCACUCUUCGAACAAACACUACAGGUCUUUUCUUUACAGCUUUUGUCUGGUUCCCCUCGUCCAACUAGGGUCAGAGCAGGACAGUAAGUGUCCUGAGUGGUUGCUGUUUUUCACACUAAGGAACUGCCUGUGCUGGUUUGGAUGUGCAGCCAUUCCCACACUGAGGCUCGAGACAAUGACGUCACGGCCCACAGGAAGAGAAGAGCAAGUUAAGAAACUGGAUUUUCUUUCAGGCGGCAUGUGGUGUUUAAGUCAGAGGUCAGAUCUCUCCUGCUGCCCGUCCAGUGAGGUCACAGCAUCAGACUGCUACGCCUGACUGUCUUCUGGAGCCACCAUCCAUAAUCUAAAGAACCCAGGGAAGAGGCCAAAAACCUGUCAGUACGACACCGGCUUCAAACUGCGAAGCUGAGGAUGCCAUAGGGAACAAACUAAGGCAACCGAGCAAAUAUGAUAUUUAUACAAAUUUUCAGAUUAAAAGCAAGAUUUUUUUUGUUUGUUUGUUUUAUCUUCUACAUCUUUGAAUUGUAUCUACCAAUUCUUUGUGUAAAACAUAGCAUUCAUUUAACGUGUAAAGGCUAAAUAUCAUAAUUUAUUAUGCACAUUUUAAUUAUGAAAAAUAUCCAAUUCAUAUUUAAAUGGCAUGCACUCAAAGCAAAACUUUUUAGUUCAUAUUUUUACUUAAUUACAGCAUUGUGUUCUUUUUCAUGUUACUGAUUAUCUACAGUAUGGUAAAAUACAAAUUAAUUUCAAACUUACGUGAAACGUGUCAUCCUCUGAAUGUAGCAACAUCCAAUCACGGUGGUCUUCUGAGGUAUGGGUCUUAACUCCAACAUAUUCCUGACAAUAAAAAUUAAACAGACAUCAAAUCUGAAUUCACAAGCUUCCGGAUGUCAUCUUUUUUGCGUUUGAACGCAGAAGGCAGCAACUCAUUAGCAGAGCAAGUCCCUUCUAAUGUAUUCUAUAGUCUUUGGUACUAAGCCAGAAAACUUUUGUUUUCAAAAGAUGUCAGCUGAACUCAAAGUGGAUUUAAAAUGAGCCUAAUGUUUCUGAGAAGCAAGUAUUUGUGAAAACCUAUUUUUUCCAGACACAUUUGCCAGUCAUGUUGAUAGAUAUCUAUCAAUGACAGCACUUAAAAAGAAAGUAUUUCCUGUCGG
RNAcentral lists this long non-coding RNA (1186 nucleotides) under Danio rerio (zebrafish). RNAcentral describes it as "lncRNA (ENSDARG00000117688.1)". The record is from RNAcentral. Lineage: Eukaryota; Metazoa; Chordata; Actinopteri; Cypriniformes; Danionidae.